Molecule: ribosomal RNA, 495 nt
Filed under: uncultured bacterium
Lineage: Bacteria
Description: bacterial SSU rRNA
Rfam family: Bacterial small subunit ribosomal RNA
Source: RNAcentral
GCAAGUCGAACGAGAACGGGUUAUAGCUUGCUAUAACUGUCAGCUAAGUGGCGCACGGGUGAGUAAUGUAUAGUUAACCUGCCCUCUAGAAAGGAAUAACAGUUGGAAACGACUGCUAAUGCCCUAUAUGCCUUUAAGACAUAAGUCUGCAAGGGAAACGCUUUAGUGCUAGAGGAUGGGACUGUAUGGUAUCAGCUAGUUGGUGAGGUAAAGGCUCACCAAGGCAAUGACGCCUAACUGGUUUGAGAGGAUGAUCAGUCACACUGGAACUGAGACACGGUCCAGACUCCUACGGGAGGCAGCAGUGGGGAAUAUUGCACAAUGGAGGAAACUCUGAUGCAGCAACGCCGCGUGGAGGAUGACACUUUUCGGAGCGUAAACUCCUUUUAUAUAGGAAGAUAAUGACGGUACUAUAUGAAUAAGCACCGGCUAACUCCGUGCCAGCAGCCGCGGUAAUACGGAGGGUGCAAGCGUUACUCGGAAUCACUGGGCGUA